GAAGUGCAGCUGCUGCUACUACCGCAUAUCAUGUUAGACACUGUGCUGCAUUCUGGGGACAGAGAGGGGCAAAACCGGUCCUCUGGCCUCAGGGAAUUAUAGUCUAGAAGAGGGGGCAGGGAGUCGAGCGGCAGGUCAGGACAGCCUCACCAGUGCUGAGCCACGGUAGACCAGACUUCCAUGGGAGUCCAGAGAAGACUGGUGGCCAGGGAUGGGUGCUGCUUCUAGACAGAGUCAUAACUAAGCACGGUCUUGAGGAACAAAUCGACGCUGGUCGGGGGAACUGUCAGAGUUUUAACUGCAAGCAACAGAAAUAGACCAGAGCCGGAAACCGCAGAGCCAUCAGCUGGCCACACGGUCUCUAGGAAGGCCACAGAACCAUUGGGAAAAACAGUGCCGAGGUGAUAUGAGGCUGUUGGUGCUGUGGCAUUGGAGACGGCCCCGGGAAACUGCACGCUGCUGCCAUCGCCCCCACCACGGCCAGGAGGGAGUCUUCCCUGCCCCGCCUCUGGGUGGCAUUGCUUCCAGAAUCCACAUCCCAGACUGCAUGCCCCCUCCAGCCGGUCAUGCUGCAAAUAUAGGUUCCUGUCAUGGGGAAUAUUGGGAAAAAUAUGAAUUCGAACGCGUCACUCUGGGAAAGAUGAUUCGAGGCACAGAUUGGCAGGAGGAAUGGACAAUGACAUCCAUAUGUGUUUAUUACAGUAGUAAAGAAUGACUCGCCACACUGCACACGCUGGCCUCCCACAACCUUGGACGUGGCUGCCUUCCCACUGCCGCCCCUCUGUGCCCGCUCUUCCCUCAGCAGCUGCUUCCCUGAGUGCCUCCUUCGGAUGCUGCGGAUCUCUGCUUAAAUGUCACCUCCUCUGAGAAGCUCUCCUUGAUUUUCUGGAACCACAUCGAAUGCCUGCUGUUAGGCUGUCACCGUGCCCCCACUGGUUUGCUUCACUGACCUUUCCCUUUUUACUCUCUGCGUAUUGACUUAUCACCUGUAUUUCCCUGGUGGUGGAAGCCCCGCGAAAGCAGGUUCUGUCGUUGCUUUGUUCACCGUUGUAUCCCCAACACCUCAUUCGGUUCCUAGCACAAAGUGGGUGCUAUAGACCACAUGUUUAUGUCCCCUAAAGUUCAUGGGUCGAAUUCUAAUCCCCAUGGGAUGGUAAUUAGACAUGGAGCCUCGGGGAGGUAAUUAGGUCAUGAGAGUGGACAGUCUUUUAUAAAAGAGACCUCAGAAAGCUCCCCCACCCCUCGGCCACGCAAGGACGUAUGUUGAACUGCACUGAAACCCAGGUUGUGUGAAGAGUAUUUGCAAGAGCCACCAAAUAACAUUUCUCCCUCGGGGUUUUCUUCACACACGUGAUUCGGUGCAUGCACUGGACCCUUCGCACCCGAUAUUCUCUCUGCCUGGGACAGUCCUCGCCCACAGCCUCAUGGCUCACUCCUGUAACGCCCGGGACACCUGCUCAAAGUUCAUCAUAUCGAGAAGUUCAUCCCCGACCACCCGAUGCAGCAAUCUGUCCAUCAGCACGCCCCCCGGACUCUGCCUUUCCCUUCCCUCAGUCGUGUUUAUUCCCAUCUGCCCUACUGAGACGUGCGUGUUUUCUCAGCUGGUGUCACUGGCACGGGAGAGGUCAGAACUCAGGAGCCGCGUGGCGUGAGGGGGAGCUAACAUUCCCUGAACUAUGUGCACCCACCUGGUGUGUCCCCGAAAUUCUCAGCACAAACCCAGCAAGUCCCAGGUGGAGGCAACCUGAUGGAAGGACCAUUGCCCUGCGUCAGGCGAGGGGCUUAUCUCCCUGAACCACAACGAUCCCGACUGUAAAAUGGAAUCAGCACUGCCCUGCCUCCCUCAUCAAGCCGUGGUGUGGGUGCGGUGAGAACCCUCUCCGUCCUCCGUACCCUCCCCCACUCCCGGCCCCCACUCCCUCUUGCCUCACUGCUUACCCUACCCUCUGGGUCCUAGUCAGGUGCAGAAAUCUGAUAAACUAACCAGAGCUAAUGGGUGUUAAUGGGUAUAAAACUUUUUUUAAUGGAGACUUUAGAAAGCCCUUUGCUUUAAUCAGGAAGAACAAUUUCAGAUUACGCCAAGAAGGGAAGCAUUUCAGCUAGAGUCUGUGGGUGGCGGUUAAUGGUUUCAGGGCCAAUGUUCCCUUUGGCAUGCCCUAAAUCAGACUUCAAAAUGACCCAGGAAGCAAUAACUGCAGGCUCGGGAGAAUUAUUUAUUGGAGUCUGCUAUUUGGUGAAAUGUCCUGAGCACGUGAGCAACAUACGUACCUGGUACUCCCUCAACGCGAGGCUUCACCCACAUAAGGUAUUUGCCUUCGCGGUACGUACGUGCGUGGUGACGGGUCAUGUCCUAGGGUUUACAAUCCAGUAUUUUCCGGCUGCAAAGCAGCAGAUCUCAGGACAUCUAGAAAGAGGAGGCCUCCCCUGCCCUCAAUAAACUCUGAGUGUCAUCGCUAGAUAAUAGGUGUCCUGUCUCCAACCCUGGGCAUUAUCACUACUGUCCUCGCACAUCAGAAGGUACGGUGAUUAAAAUUUAGUCACCAGCUUCUA
This is a long non-coding RNA of Lynx canadensis (Canada lynx), 2550 nucleotides long. RefSeq lists it as uncharacterized. The transcript is spliced from 5 exons. Lineage: Eukaryota; Metazoa; Chordata; Mammalia; Carnivora; Felidae. The record is from RefSeq and is a predicted model, not a curated record.